GAUGAACGCUGACAGAAUGCUUAACACAUGCAAGUCAACUGUGGCGGACGGGUGAGUAACGCGUAAAGAACUUGCCUCACAGAUAGGGACACCAUUUGGAAACGAAUGCUAAUACCUGAUACUGUGAGAGAGCUUUGCGUCCCAUUAGCUAGUUGGAGAGGUAACGGCUCCCCAAGGCGAUGAUGGGUAGCCGGCCUGAGAGGGUGAUCGGCCACAAGGGGACUGGGAAACGGCCCUUACUGCUACGGGAGGCAGCAGCGGGAAAUAGUGGAAAAUGGACCAAAGUCUGAUCCAGCAAUUCGGUGUGCACGAUGAAGUUUUCGGAAUGUAAAGUGCUGUCAGUUGGGAAGCAGUACCAACAGAGGAAGUGACGGCUAACUACGUGCCAGCCGCCGCGGUAAUAC
Molecule: ribosomal RNA, 404 nt
Filed under: uncultured bacterium
Lineage: Bacteria
Description: partial 16S ribosomal RNA
Rfam family: Bacterial small subunit ribosomal RNA
Source: RNAcentral